This 703-nucleotide long non-coding RNA is filed under the name Monodelphis domestica (gray short-tailed opossum). RNAcentral describes it as "lncRNA (ENSMODG00000050109.1)". The record is from RNAcentral. Lineage: Eukaryota; Metazoa; Chordata; Mammalia; Didelphimorphia; Didelphidae.
ACAAAAUCUAUAAUUGGUAAUUGAUGAGGAGGUUCAUCUUCCUUGCGAGCUAGGUGGGGUACUGGUUGGUAUGGAGUCAGGAAGACUUGAGUUCAAAUUCAGCCACAGAUACUUCCUAGCUAUGUGACACUGUGCAAGUCAUUUAACCUCAGUUUCUCUAUCCGAAAAUGGAAGUCAUAAUAGCAUCUACCUCUUAGAGUUGUCAGGAGGAUCAAUUGAGAUAAUAUCUGUACAGUACUGAGCAUAGACCUGGUAUAUAGAGAGAAAUGUUUGCUCUUUAUUAUAACUAGGAAUAUCACCUCAUCCUUUCUGGGUUGCUCUCUUUAAAGAAUAGUCUUUAUUGAAAAGUCUACAGAUCCUUACAGUCAUUGUGACUCUAGGAGAAUAAUAAUAACUAACAUUAAUAGAACAUUUUUAGGAAGGAACUUUGCUUACCCACAUUUUACAGAUGAAGAAACUGAGGUUAAAUGAAUCACUCAGGGCCACACAGCUAAUAAAUAUUGGAGAUAGGUUUUGAACAGAGGUCUUGCUUUCUCCAGGUCCAGAGCUCUCUCCACUGAACCACCUAGCCUCUUGUAGCAGAUUCAAUAAGGGCUUCUUAACAUCUCUCAGAAAACAUCACGGGAACUCCAGGCACCAUCAUGCCUUGAACUUAAACAUGAUGAUGAUAGUGCAAGAAGAGAGAAUAAGAAGGACCAGUCAA